UCCACCUCCCACAGAAAUCCCAAUCUGCGACGCCACCAAAGCCUAUCCCCCGCGGCAGUUCUCGGCCCGGCUCUGCCCUCCGGCGCCAACUCCACCCUCGGCCGGCGACUUCCCAUUCUCCUAUGUCGGCAUCCUCGCCGGUCGGAGCCCCGCCUGCCGUCGGCGUACUCCCCGUGUCCCGUUGACACACAUCGCCCCUCCCAACUCUCAUCACCACACCGUCCCGCAAGAUGGGAUCCGCCAUGUCAAGAAGGGGGAGAAGGAGCGAAUACAUUAAUCAGGUGCAGGUUGGAAUGACUGGCCAUUAGAUAUUUAAGGAUAUAACAUUAUGGAAAUUUUCAGCAGAUGAUCUUUUGCAAGUGAAAAGAAUACAUCUUUAUAAGGAGCAAUCAAUGUGGGGCCAUUACAAGGAUUUAGAGGACAAAACUAAUUAUAUGGACAGAUUAUAACAGGUUUUAUAUUGGAAAUAAUCUUGAAAAAUGUGCAAGCGAAAUCUUCACAUUUAUCCAGAAGCCAUAUCCAUAAAAGCUGCGAAAGCCGUCAAGUUGAUGUACCAAACUAGCUAUAGAAUUUUUAGAUAGAUUUCCACUGAGAAUUUCCAUUUUUUUCUCAAAUUGGUUUCAACUUUCAGAUAGUUAGAAUUAGAAUUAGAAGUUUAUUUUCUAGUGACAUACACAUUAUUGUAUGAACGUACAGUUCACUUGUAAACUAUCAAUACCCUUUGUAAUAA
Molecule: long non-coding RNA, 730 nt
Organism: Triticum dicoccoides
Lineage: Eukaryota; Viridiplantae; Streptophyta; Magnoliopsida; Poales; Poaceae
Exons: 4
Source: RefSeq, a predicted model, not a curated record